GGUAAGUCGUAAACCUUUGGAGUUUAGAUAUGAGUGUUCAAAUCACUUCAACAU
RNAcentral lists this transfer RNA (54 nucleotides) under Leptogium corticola. Its description in RNAcentral is "tRNA-Gln". The record is from RNAcentral. Lineage: Eukaryota; Fungi; Ascomycota; Lecanoromycetes; Peltigerales; Collemataceae.